AGUCUAUCGAUAAACUCAAUUGAGUUGACUAUUGUAUAUUGAAUCAGUAGAAUCUUUUUAUUUAAAUGGGUAAAGUUUCGAUGGCUUUCCUACAGCCAGGACAAUAUCAAGGCCCAAUUGAACGCCGGAGUCCGGCAAUUCAACAAGAAGCGCAGUCGCGGCAAAGUCUGGAAUGUCUUCUCCAGAAUCGAGCUUGGUCAAAUAACAUGGAUGCACUUCACACAUGGAGCGGCACAAGUGCUACAGAACCUAUGUCAUAUAUCCAACAUCAGAGGAUGAAGAGGAUUCCCACUGGAAUCCGGACGUUUCCAGUGCGGACAAGGCUACAGAUAAGAUAACCGAGGCCCUGAUGGAUUGGUGCGUCGUGGUUAGUGCGCGGGACAUCGAAACGCACUACGAUUUCUUCUUGGUCUUUGUCGCCUUGGACAGCCAGGAGGAUAAGAUUAUCAAAGAAAUUCAAGGCUACCAGGCAAUACAGAUGCCUGCAUGUGGAUUAGCUGCACCGAAAGAUGUUGCCCAACCAAUAUGAAUAAAAGAAUCGAUUCUUAGCUCUAGCUUACCAAAUUGUAGGUUUUCCUAGAAUUCCUGUUAAUUUAAAACUAUUAAUGAUCCACAAUGUCGAUACACAAAAAAAUUUGAAAAAUUAAAAUUUUGAAUAAAGAAAACAAUACG
Molecule: long non-coding RNA, 672 nt
Filed under: Drosophila melanogaster (fruit fly)
Lineage: Eukaryota; Metazoa; Arthropoda; Insecta; Diptera; Drosophilidae
Description: antisense RNA:CR42254 (Dmel_CR42254)
Source: RNAcentral